UCCCAUGACCAAAUUCAAAAUUACCUUGAACGCUCCGAGUCUUGUCAGAUCUCAGAAGCGAAGCUGGUUAGACACUGGUGAGUACUUGGAUGUGAGAUUCCCUGGGAAUGUCAGGUGUUAUAGGCU
RNAcentral lists this ribosomal RNA (126 nucleotides) under Petromyzon marinus (sea lamprey). The record is from RNAcentral. Lineage: Eukaryota; Metazoa; Chordata; Hyperoartia; Petromyzontiformes; Petromyzontidae.